Molecule: ribosomal RNA, 685 nt
Filed under: Debaryomyces hansenii
Lineage: Eukaryota; Fungi; Ascomycota; Pichiomycetes; Serinales; Debaryomycetaceae
Description: partial large subunit ribosomal RNA
Rfam family: Eukaryotic large subunit ribosomal RNA (bases 1-585)
Source: RNAcentral
CCACAGGGAGAAUUGCCUUAGUACGGCGAGUGAAGCGGCAAAAGCUCAAAUUUGAAAUCUGGCACCUUCGGUGUCCGAGUUGUAAUUUGAAGAAGGUAACUUUGGAGUUGGCUCUUGUCUAUGUUCCUUGGAACAGGACGUCACAGAGGGUGAGAAUCCCGUGCGAUGAGAUGCCCAAUUCUAUGUAAAGUGCUUUCGAAGAGUCGAGUUGUUUGGGAAUGCAGCUCUAAGUGGGUGGUAAAUUCCAUCUAAAGCUAAAUAUUGGCGAGAGACCGAUAGCGAACAAGUACAGUGAUGGAAAGAUGAAAAGAACUUUGAAAAGAGAGUGAAAAAGUACGUGAAAUUGUUGAAAGGGAAGGGCUUGAGAUCAGACUUGGUAUUUUGCGAUCCUUUCCUUCUUGGUUGGGUUCCUCGCAGCUUACUGGGCCAGCAUCGGUUUGGAUGGUAGGAUAAUGACUAAGGAAUGUGGCUCUACUUCGGUGGAGUGUUAUAGCCUUGGUUGAUACUGCCUGUCUAGACCGAGGACUGCGUCUUUUGACUAGGAUGUUGGCAUAAUGAUCUUAAGCCACCCGUCUUGACCCACGGGACCAAAAAAAAUAAUAAAGGGGGGGGGGGGGGGGGGGGGGGGGGGGGGUGUUUAGUGGCUUGUGGUUUCAUUUUCUUGGUGACACAGUUAUGUCUUUUA